Molecule: ribosomal RNA, 500 nt
Filed under: uncultured bacterium
Lineage: Bacteria
Description: bacterial SSU rRNA
Rfam family: Bacterial small subunit ribosomal RNA
Source: RNAcentral
AACGAACGCUGGCGGCGUGCCUAACACAUGCAAGUCGAGCGAGAAAGCCCGCAAGGGUGAGUAAAGCGGCGCACGGGUGAGUAACACGUGGGUAAUCUGCCCUGGAGUCCGGAAUAACUCGCCGAAAGGCGUGCUAAUGCCGGAUAAGACCACGGGAGCCUCGGCUCCUGUGAGAAAAGGUGGCCUCUGUACACAAGCUAUCGCCCCAGGAUGGGCCCGCGUCCCAUCAGCUAGUUGGCGGGGUAAUGGCCCACCAAGGCUACGACGGGUAGCUGGUCUGAGAGGACGAUCAGCCACACUGGAACUGAGACACGGUCCAGACUCCUACGGGAGGCAGCAGUGGGGAAUCUUGCGCAAUGGGCGAAAGCCUGACGCAGCAACGCCGCGUGUGUGAUGAAGGUCUUCGGAUCGUAAAGCACUGUCGCGAGGGACGAAUAAGGCCUCAGCUAAUACCUGGGGACGAUGACGGUACCUCGAGAGGAAGCACCGGCUAACUCUGU